RNAcentral lists this long non-coding RNA (268 nucleotides) under Gouania willdenowi (blunt-snouted clingfish). Its description in RNAcentral is "lncRNA (ENSGWIG00000004474.1)". The record is from RNAcentral. Lineage: Eukaryota; Metazoa; Chordata; Actinopteri; Blenniiformes; Gobiesocidae.
UCAUCAGUGAGGUCAUCGUGCCCUCGUUUAUUGCGCUGAAUCUGUCCAAUGAUGGGUACUUCCUGCCCUUUGGUGCAAUUGAGACGGACCGCCAACUGCUGGACUUCAUGGAUGGCGUUCUUGCUGGAAGUGUGGAGUGUCAAGGUGGAAACAGUGUUGUUCAACGCUUUAGGCGUUUUGUUUUUGACAUCAAAGCCAUUCUUAAGCCGCUGUUCAUCGAGGCGCCUCUCUUUGGGUGUCUCCUCUUUGCCUUCCCAGUCACCCUUGG